This 465-nucleotide ribosomal RNA is filed under the name Vreelandella stevensii. RNAcentral describes it as "partial 16S ribosomal RNA". It matches the Rfam family "Bacterial small subunit ribosomal RNA", at positions 338 to 795 of the family's 1533-position model. The record is from RNAcentral. Lineage: Bacteria; Pseudomonadati; Pseudomonadota; Gammaproteobacteria; Oceanospirillales; Halomonadaceae.
CCUACGGGGGGCAGCAGUGGGGAAUAUUGGACAAUGGGGGCAACCCUGAUCCAGCCAUGCCGCGUGUGUGAAGAAGGCCCUCGGGUUGUAAAGCACUUUCAGUGAGGAAGAACGCCUGGUGGUUAAUACCCAUCAGGAAAGACAUCACUCACAGAAGAAGCACCGGCUAACUCCGUGCCAGCAGCCGCGGUAAUACGGAGGGUGCGAGCGUUAAUCGGAAUUACUGGGCGUAAAGCGCGCGUAGGUGGCUUGAUAAGCCGGUUGUGAAAGCCCCGGGCUCAACCUGGGAACGGCAUCCGGAACUGUCAAGCUAGAGUGCAGGAGAGGAAGGUAGAAUUCCCGGUGUAGCGGUGAAAUGCGUAGAGAUCGGGAGGAAUACCAGUGGCGAAGGCGGCCUUCUGGACUGACACUGACACCGAGGUGCGAAAGCGUGGGUAGCAAACAGGAUUAGAUACCCUGGUAGUC